RNAcentral lists this ribosomal RNA (291 nucleotides) under uncultured bacterium. RNAcentral describes it as "partial 16S ribosomal RNA". It matches the Rfam family "Bacterial small subunit ribosomal RNA", at positions 505 to 796 of the family's 1533-position model. The record is from RNAcentral.
GUGCCAGCCGCCGCGGUAAUACGGAGGGAGCUAGCGUUGUUCGGAAUUACUGGGCGUAAAGCGCGCGUAGGCGGCGUAUCAAGUCAGGGGUGAAAUCCCGGGGCUUAACCCCGGAACUGCCUCUGAAACUAGUAUGCUAGAAUCCUGGAGAGGCGAGUGGAAUUCCGAGUGUAGAGGUGAAAUUCGUAGAUAUUCGGAAGAACACCAGUGGCGAAGGCGACUCGCUGGACAGGUAUUGACGCUGAGGUGCGAAAGCGUGGGGAGCAAACAGGAUUAGAAACCCGGUAGUCC